Molecule: ribosomal RNA, 1671 nt
Filed under: Triticum aestivum (bread wheat)
Lineage: Eukaryota; Viridiplantae; Streptophyta; Magnoliopsida; Poales; Poaceae
Description: partial small subunit ribosomal RNA
Source: RNAcentral
AUGAUAUCCCCCAACCUCCCCCUCCGGCUCCGCCACCUCCGCUGCCUUCUCGCCGCGGCGCCCUUGUCCUCCCCCGCCGCCGCAUACUACUCGCGCGCAUCCUCCCCACCUUCAAACCGCGCUCAGGCCCUGCCCCCGCCCCCGCCACCGCGGCGCCAUCUCCCGGACCUCCCGGCGCGACGGUUCUCCUCCGGGCACGUCCUCCUCCCCACCAACCUCCAGGAGGAGCACGUCGCGUCUCUGUCCGACAGGAUCUACCACGCGGUGACAGAGACAGAGGAGGGCUCCAACGAGGGCACGGAGGCCGCCCUCGACGCGCUGGGCGCCGAGCUGACCACCCCGCUCGUGGCCGACGUGAUGCACCGCCUGCGCUACGAGGAGAAGCUGGCCUUCCGCUUCUUCGCCUGGGCGUCCCAGCAGGACAACUACGAGCACGAGCACCGCACGUACAACGACAUGAUCGACAUCCUCUCCGGGACGCGGUACAAGUCCCGCCAGUUCGGCGUCCUCUGCGACGUGCUCGACCACAUGAAGCGCCACGGCACGAGGUCGGUGCCGGUCGAGGACCUGCUGGGCAUCCUGCGCGCCUACACCGAGAAGCACCUCACCAACCUUAGGAAGCUGGCGAAGAAGCGGCGGGUGCGGAUGCGCACGCCGCCGGAGACCGACGCGCUCAACAUCCUCCUGGACGCGUUUUGCAAGUGCGGGAUGGUCAGGGAGGCGGAGACGGUGUUUGGUCGCGUGAAGAAGAAGCUGCAAGGAAAUGCCGAGACCUACAGCAUCCUCUUCUUUGGGUGGUGCCGCGCCAGGGACCCCAAGAAGGCCAUGAAGGUGCUCGAGGAAAUGGUUGAGAUGAAGCACACCCCAGAGAACUUCACGUACAUUGCUGCUAUUGACUCGUUCUGCAGCGCUGGUUUGAUCUCGGAGGCAAGAGAGUUGUUUGAGUUCAUGAGGACCGAGGGAUCGAAGAUAUCCUCUCCCACUGCUAAGGUAUAUGCUAUUAUGAUUGUUGCGCUAGCCAAAGCUGAUCGGAUGGAUGAGUGCUUUGAGCUGAUUUCAGAUAUGAUUAAACGAGGCUGCAUGCCUGAUGUAUCAACCUUUAAAGAUUUGAUUGAAGGCAUGUGCUUGGUGGAUAGACUCGAUGCUGCCUACUGCAUUUUGGAGGAGAUGGGGAAGGCUGGGUUUCCUCCUGACAUUGUCACUUACAAUUGCUUUCUUGAGGUACUUUGUCGUCUUCAGAAGGCUGAUGAUGCGCUCAAACUCGCCGAGAGGAUGAUAGAAGCACACUGUGAGCCCAGUGUUCAUACUUACAAUAUGCUGAUGGUGAUGUUUUUUGAGAUGAGAGAGCCACACAGGGCACUCAAUAUUUGGACUGAAAUGGACAAGAGAGGAUGUCGACGUGCUGUUGAUACCUACGAAAUAAUGAUUGAUGGGCUGUUUGAUUGUGGAAGAACGGAAGAUGCAACCACUCUUCUAGAUGAAGUAAUAAACCAUGAUAUGAAACUGUCGUACAAGAAGUUCGAUUCUAUCAUGCUGCAAUUGUCAGCUGUUGGCAACCUUGGCGCAAUACAUCGGCUUUCAGAGCAUAUGAGAAAAUUUUACAAUGUUGCAAUGUCAAGACGUUUUUCGAUCACACAGAAGAAGAAGAGCAUUGGUAUUAGAAGGAGAUGA